This 54-nucleotide transfer RNA is filed under the name Dipodomys ordii (Ord's kangaroo rat). It matches the Rfam family "tRNA", at positions 1 to 53 of the family's 71-position model. Rfam says of the family: Transfer RNA (tRNA) molecules are approximately 80 nucleotides in length. Their secondary structure includes four short double-helical elements and three loops (D, anti-codon, and T loops). Further hydrogen bonds mediate the characteristic L-shaped molecular structure. tRNAs have two regions of fundamental functional importance: the anti-codon, which is responsible for specific mRNA codon recognition, and the 3' end, to which the tRNAs corresponding amino acid is attached (by aminoacyl-tRNA synthetases). tRNAs cope with the degeneracy of the genetic code in two manners: having more than one tRNA (with a specific anti-codon) for a particular amino acid; and 'wobble' base-pairing, i.e. permitting non-standard base-pairing at the 3rd anti-codon position. The record is from Rfam by way of RNAcentral. Lineage: Eukaryota; Metazoa; Chordata; Mammalia; Rodentia; Heteromyidae.
GGGAAGGUGGCUCAGUGGUAGAGCGCUUGCCUUGUAUGCCUGAGGCCCUGGGUU